AUCAGGUAAGAAUACCCGCCGAACUUAAGCAUAUCAAUAAGCGGAGGAAAAGAAAAUAACAAUGAUUCCCUCAGUAACGGCGAGCGAAGAGGGAUAAGCUCAAAUUUUAAAUCUGUUGGGUUCCACUUAACAGAGUUGUAUUUUGAAGAAACGUUUUCUGCAUCCAGGAUUAGCCUAAAUCCUUUGGGAUAAGGUAUCAUGGAGGGUGAGAAUCCCGUUCAUGGUUAAUCUUAAGGAAGCUCUACGAUACGUUUUCCAAGAGUCGAGUUGUUUGGGAUUGCAGCUCAAAAUGGGGGGUAAAUUUCUCCUAAGGCUAAAUAUUGGCGAGAGACCGAUAGCGAACAAGUACCGUGAGGGAAAGAUGAAAAGAACUUUGAAAAGAGAGUUAAACAGUACGUGAAAUUGUUGAAAGGGAAACGAUUGAAGUCAGUCAUACCAACGGGAAAUCAACCUUUUGAGCUUGGUCUCGUGGGUUUUGAAGAGUUUCAAAGCCUUCGGAUUCGCGGGAUUGGGAUCUCUCGGUGUACUUUUUCGUACGGUUAGUCAACAUCGGUUUUGAAUGUCAUAAAAUGACUGGAGGAAUGUAGCUUCGAUCUCGUAUUGAAGUGUUAUAGCCUUUGGUAGAUGUGAUGUUUGAGACCGAGGAUUGCAACGGAUACCCUUCAGGGCUAUUCGUCUGAUCUCUGAUACGUUGCCUUGAUGUUGAAAGCUUGCUUAUGAUGUUAGGGUAUUACGGUCAAAAGGUUAGAACGAAUUACGUUCGUUAAGGAUGUUGACGUAAUGACUUUAAACGACCCGUCUUGAAACACGGACCAAGGAGUCUAACAUAUAUGCGAGUGUU
RNAcentral lists this ribosomal RNA (841 nucleotides) under uncultured Glomeraceae. RNAcentral's name for it is "eukaryotic LSU rRNA". It matches the Rfam family "Eukaryotic large subunit ribosomal RNA", at positions 10 to 694 of the family's 3401-position model. The record is from RNAcentral. Lineage: Eukaryota; Fungi; Glomeromycota; Glomeromycetes; Glomerales; Glomeraceae.